AAGGGGUCACUGACAAAGCUCGUGAUAGGUUGUGCGGUUCUCCACCUGUCACGGUUCCUUCCCAGUUCAUCGUCUCUCGUCCCACAGCCAACACAGUCAAAAUACCACAAUCUCUGAGAAAACGGUUGAAAAAGUUGAUGUAAUGAAUUAGGAAGAUUCUGCAACCGCGGCACAGGAAAUGCCCGAGAAGAAAAUCUCUCCAACGUAGCUGCCCCAGGGAUGGAGGGAGAUAAGCUGUGACUUGAAAUGACCACAAGCCAUGGCAGCUGUCGUUUUCUGAGUCCCUCCUGCCCGCCAGUCGCUGUGCCACAUCCCCGGCUGCUUGUGGUCUCCGCAGUGCGGUGCUGAGCAAGCGCCCUCGACGCUUCCUGACGAGAAGGAACUCGGGCUUUGGGACAGGAAGUGACAAAGCUUGCAGAUGUCCAGGGGGCAAAGGUACAUUGCGGGGACGGAUCCCAUGUAACCCCAGAAGCAGUGUUCAUGUGGAAAUGCAUCCGUGCUCCAAAAGGUAAACAUCCCGAAUGCGUGCUGUGAGUUUUCCGUAUCGAUUUUCCUCUUGUAAUUCACUCCCAAGGGUUUACUGUGUGCACCAAUCUCUUGAGCACACCCCUGUCAAGCUCCUCAGCUCCAGGCACUGUUCCUGUCCCGGAUGAUCCACCAGCCUUGGUCUUUGCUUGGGCAUUUCUACGUCCUGAUCCCUGCAGAGAGAGUCUCUGCUCCAGUAGUCUCAGCUGAAGACAUACCAAGAGGGCUGGUGAGGAUAGAAGAACUGAAACCAACGGAGUAACAAGAAACAGGAGAACAAGGCCCCUUGUGCUUCACAAUGACCCCAAGAAUGUACUGAUACGGCAUCUGCUUUAAAAGAAUUUGGAGCUGAGCGUCGUGGCGCACACCUGUAAU
Molecule: long non-coding RNA, 900 nt
Organism: Chinchilla lanigera (long-tailed chinchilla)
Lineage: Eukaryota; Metazoa; Chordata; Mammalia; Rodentia; Chinchillidae
Exons: 2
Source: RefSeq, a predicted model, not a curated record